Molecule: long non-coding RNA, 787 nt
Organism: Sycon ciliatum
Lineage: Eukaryota; Metazoa; Porifera; Calcarea; Leucosolenida; Sycettidae
Exons: 4
Source: RefSeq, a predicted model, not a curated record
UUCAAAAUCUUGAUCUUUUCGACCAGAACUGUUUCCUCUCUGAUGUUCUUUAGAGUUCCUUGAGGGAAGAAGAAGAACUAACGUGCCCGGGGAUAUCUCCAAGUACUUUUCUUUGUUCGCUCACCACAUCAAGCAGAAUCAUGUCUGGAAGACAAGGUGGCAAGAAGAAGCCUCUGAAGCAGCCCAAGAAGGAUUCUGCGGAUAUGGACGAUGAUGACAUGGCUCUGAAGCAGAGAAUGAGGGAGGAGAAGAAAGCGCUGGAGGCAGCCAAGGCCAAGGCAUCACAGAAAGGACCAAUGGGAGGUAGUGGCAUCAAGAAAUCUGGAAAGAAGUGAAAUUGGCGCUGGCCAUCAAGCCGUGCGAACUGCUCACUCUCAGAUUCGUGCUAUGCAUUCGCUUGCCCGCUACUUGCUACGGCUGAUACAGCAUAUUGUAUUGUUAUGCUGAACUGGAAAAGAACUUGUUAUCAGAGAUGUAGAAAUUGACAUGAUCAUGACCAUCUGUGUUCUUCUCUGUGCUUUAAAACUGUUACGAGUAAUGCUGCCACUUUCUUUCUCGCUACUUCUGCUGCUGCCGUGUUCUCUGUGUUGGCUUUGCUGGUUGUCUUGAGUUGCGUGUUAUCCCCACGCAGGGAGCAUUCUUAUAGUGAAAGCCCUACCAGAGACAGUGUUGUAUGUCUUUGUGUCAGCCUGCUUUUCCAAUCAGGUCUUCUGCAAUACGCUUAGUGAUGUGUUUGGUAGCAGCAAUGCUGCGAAGAUAUAAAAUUAAAAAAGAAAGAAAAAAAGUA